UGUUUGUGUGGGCAGCGCUAUACUAAAAUUGGACUGACCUAGAGAAGAUCAGCAUGGUCCCCAUGUAAGGAUGACACGCAAAUUUGUGAAGCGUUCCAUUUUUUU
Molecule: small nuclear RNA, 105 nt
Organism: Cavia aperea (Brazilian guinea pig)
Lineage: Eukaryota; Metazoa; Chordata; Mammalia; Rodentia; Caviidae
Source: Ensembl